This 2485-nucleotide ribosomal RNA is filed under the name Salmonella enterica. Its description in RNAcentral is "partial 23S ribosomal RNA". It matches the Rfam family "Bacterial large subunit ribosomal RNA", at positions 549 to 2925 of the family's 2925-position model. Lineage: Bacteria; Pseudomonadati; Pseudomonadota; Gammaproteobacteria; Enterobacterales; Enterobacteriaceae. The record is from RNAcentral.
CCUGAAACCGUGUACGUACAAGCAGUGGGAGCACCCUUCGGGGUGUGACUGCGUACCUUUUGUAUAAUGGGUCAGCGACUUAUAUUCUGUAGCAAGGUUAACCGUAUAGGGGAGCCGGAGGGAAACCGAGUCUUAACCGGGCGUUAAGUUGCAGGGUAUAGACCCGAAACCCGGUGAUCUAGCCAUGGGCAGGUUGAAGGUUGGGUAACACUAACUGGAGGACCGAACCGACUAAUGUUGAAAAAUUAGCGGAUGACCUGUGGCUGGGGGUGAAAGGCCAAUCAAACCGGGAGAUAGCUGGUUCUCCCCGAAAGCUAUUUAGGUAGCGCCUCGUGAAUUCAUCUCCGGGGGUAGAGCACUGUUUCGGCUAGGGGGCCAUCCCGGCUUACCAACCCGAUGCAAACUGCGAAUACCGGAGAAUGUUAUCACGGGAGACACACGGCGGGUGCUAACGUCCGUCGUGAAGAGGGAAACAACCCAGACCGCCAGCUAAGGUCCCAAAGUCAUGGUUAAGUGGGAAACGAUGUGGGAAGGCCCAGACAGCCAGGAUGUUGGCUUAGAAGCAGCCAUCAUUUAAAGAAAGCGUAAUAGCUCACUGGUCGAGUCGGCCUGCGCGGAAGAUGUAACGGGGCUAAACCAUGCACCGAAGCUGCGGCAGCGAACGUAUCACCCAAGACAACUUUACGGAGUUGACGAUUGACGGAGCGAAGCGACGUCAAAGCGUUCAUUAAAGUCGAGUUGGCUUAGGGAUACGUUCGUUGGGUAGGGGAGCGUUCUGUAAGCCUGUGAAGGUGUGUCGUGAGGCAUGCUGGAGGUAUCAGAAGUGCGAAUGCUGACAUAAGUAACGAUAAAGCGGGUGAAAAGCCCGCUCGCCGGAAGACCAAGGGUUCCUGUCCAACGUUAAUCGGGGCAGGGUGAGUCGACCCCUAAGGCGAGGCCGAAAGGCGUAGUCGAUGGGAAACGGGUUAAUAUUCCCGUACUUGGUGUUACUGCGAAGGGGGGACGGAGAAGGCUAUGUUGGCCGGGCGACGGUUGUCCCGGUUUAAGCGUGUAGGUGUGUGUUCCAGGUAAAUCCGGUUCACUUUAACACUGAGGCGUGACGACGAGGCACUACGGUGCUGAAGCAACAAAUGCCCUGCUUCCAGGAAAAGCCUCUAAGCAUCAGGUAACAUCAAAUCGUACCCCAAACCGACACAGGUGGUCAGGUAGAGAAUACCAAGGCGCUUGAGAGAACUCGGGUGAAGGAACUAGGCAAAAUGGUGCCGUAACUUCGGGAGAAGGCACGCUGACACGUAGGUGAAGUGAUUUACUCAUGGAGCUGAAGUCAGUCGAAGAUACCAGCUGGCUGCAACUGUUUAUUAAAAACACAGCACUGUGCAAACACGAAAGUGGACGUAUACGGUGUGACGCCUGCCCGGUGCCGGAAGGUUAAUUGAUGGGGUCAGCGCAAGCGAAGCUCCUGAUCGAAGCCCCGGUAAACGGCGGCCGUAACUAUAACGGUCCUAAGGUAGCGAAAUUCCUUGUCGGGUAAGUUCCGACCUGCACGAAUGGCGUAAUGAUGGCCAGGCUGUCUCCACCCGAGACUCAGUGAAAUUGAACUCGCUGUGAAGAUGCAGUGUACCCGCGGCAAGACGGAAAGACCCCGUGAACCUUUACUAUAGCUUGACACUGAACAUUGAGCCUUGAUGUGUAGGAUAGGUGGGAGGCUUUGAAGUGUGGACGCCAGUCUGCAUGGAGCCGACCUUGAAAUACCACCCUUUAAUGUUUGAUGUUCUAACGUGGACCCGUAAUCCGGGUUGCGGACAGUGUCUGGUGGGUAGUUUGACUGGGGCGGUCUCCUCCUAAAGAGUAACGGAGGAGCACGAAGGUUGGCUAAUCCUGGUCGGACAUCAGGAGGUUAGUGCAAUGGCAUAAGCCAGCUUGACUGCGAGCGUGACGGCGCGAGCAGGUGCGAAAGCAGGUCAUAGUGAUCCGGUGGUUCUGAAUGGAAGGGCCAUCGCUCAACGGAUAAAAGGUACUCCGGGGAUAACAGGCUGAUACCGCCCAAGAGUUCAUAUCGACGGCGGUGUUUGGCACCUCGAUGUCGGCUCAUCACAUCCUGGGGCUGAAGUAGGUCCCAAGGGUAUGGCUGUUCGCCAUUUAAAGUGGUACGCGAGCUGGGUUUAGAACGUCGUGAGACAGUUCGGUCCCUAUCUGCCGUGGGCGCUGGAGAACUGAGGGGGGCUGCUCCUAGUACGAGAGGACCGGAGUGGACGCAUCACUGGUGUUCGGGUUGUCAUGCCAAUGGCACUGCCCGGUAGCUAAAUGCGGAAGAGAUAAGUGCUGAAAGCAUCUAAGCACGAAACUUGCCCCGAGAUGAGUUCUCCCUGAGACUUAGAGUCUCCUGAAGGAACGUUGAAGACGACGACGUUGAUAGGCCGGGUGUGUAAGCGCAGCGAUGCGUUGAGCUAACCGGUACUAAUGAACCGUGAGGCUUAACCUUACA